This 497-nucleotide ribosomal RNA is filed under the name uncultured bacterium. RNAcentral's name for it is "partial 16S ribosomal RNA". It matches the Rfam family "Bacterial small subunit ribosomal RNA", at positions 28 to 507 of the family's 1533-position model. The record is from RNAcentral.
GAUGAACGCUGGCGGCGUGCCUAAUACAUGCAAGUCGAGCGAACGGACGAGAAGCUUGCUUCUCUGAUGUUAGCGGCGGACGGGUGAGUAACACGUGGAUAACCUACCUAUAAGACUGGGAUAACUUCGGGAAACCGGAGCUAAUACCGGAUAAUAUUUUGAACCGCAUGGUUCAAAAGUGAAAGACGGUCUUGCUGUCACUAAUAGAUGGAUCCGCGCUGCAUUAGCUAGUUGGUAAGGUAACGGCUUACCAAGGCAACGAUGCAUAGCCGACCUGAGAGGGUGAUCGGCCACCCUGGAACUGAGCCACGGUCCAGACUCCUACGGGAGGCAGCAGUAGGGAAUCUUCCGCAAUGGGCGAAAGCCUGACGGAGCAACGCCGCGUGAGUGAUGAAGGUCUUCGGAUCGUUAACCUCUGUUAUUAGGGAAGAACAUAUGUGUAAGUAACUGUGCACAUCUUGACGGUACCUAAUCAGAAAGCCACGGCUAACUACGUG